UGUUGUGCCUGUAAUUCAAAGGGUCAGCCUUGUCACACUGUGUCACGCUGAAUAUCCCCGAGAACUACGUUAAGGGUACACGUGUCUGUGGAGUGCUCAGCCACUUGCACGUUAAUUUCACGAGCAGGCUGUUCCGUUGAUCGGAUCAACUGGAACCCACGACGUCGUAAGCGACGGAGUGCCAACAGUGUAUGUAUGUAUGUAUGUAUUCAGCUCUCUCGAGCAACAGAGGUGAAUGUACUACAUGCCUAGAAAUGAAACUUCUCAACAGCACAAUGGUUUUUAGACGUUAAUAAUUUCCAGUCAAAAAUGAAAAAAAAAAACAUAUCCAUAAACUUGUCAAUUAAAGAUAUUCAACACCAUAACAAAGGUGUAUGAAAUCAUGAAUAAAAGAAAUACCUGUGUAACUUGUAUAAAAAAAACUAUCGGACGCCCUAUGUAGAAAGAAAGCCGAAAGUGAAUAUAUUUGCAUAAAAAAUGCAAACAGAUUGGGUCAAGUAUGUAGAACGAAGGUUAGAUUGAUGGAAAUGCGACUGAGCAGUGGAGAUAAUAAAGACAUUUAACAAGAAUAACAGGUCUAAUUACUCUAUUAUUUUUUUUUUUUCGUUGACAUAUUUUAAGUUACAGAACUUCUUUAUCAGUCCACAGUCAUGUUUGCAGCACAUAUUCAGUUUUUGUGUGAAGCUCUGUUUGAACUACCCACUUCUAUACAAAGCUGAUAACUAUUAUAGACGCACCUACGUUGAUUGCUAAACUUAUGAUUACUUUUAUUAUACAUUUUAAGUGGAGUGUUUCUUCGCCAUAGAGCUUUGCUGUUGUUGAAACGUGUCAAUAUCCAUGAUGUAUUUGGCUAUUGGAUUGUUGAUUCUCUUCGUGGCCCAGACACACAGCCAAACUGAACCAAUGGGCUUAAAAUCAUAUUUAGGAUCUGAUGUAGUAAUGACAUGUGUUAAUGCAACUAUGAAUGGAAUGCCCAAGUGGAUUCUUCCACAUGGUAAAAUGGUGGAUGAAGAAAAAUAUGAGAUAUACAAUAAGUCAUUAAAAAUUAAAAGUGUUACUGAAGAAGACAGAGGAAUCUAUGCUUGCACUUCUAGAGAUGAUGCAGUAUAUAACAUAUACCUACUAAAUAUGGCUGGCCCUCUAUUUGACAGCACUUCUGAUAAAUACCAUACCCAGUUUCUUAUUGGUGGUAUAGCAAGUGUAGUUAUGUUAGGUAUAUGUACUAUUGUAUUGCUUACUUAUCAUUUUCACUAUGAAACCCGGGAGCGUAAACAUGGAGAAGCUGAAGGUAACAUUAAUAAUGGCUUUACAGAAUUAGACAGCACGCAACUUUGAUUUCUUUUCUAUAAACUUUUCAAUAAAAGUAAACUCAAACAAAUUCAAAGCUAUGAUAAGUGAUUGGUUUUAUCUAACAGUAAUUCACUAUUAGGUCUCAAAAGACUUUAAAUAUUUUUAAUUGAAAAUUGUGUCUGAAAAUAUCAUGAAAACUUUUUUAAGAUUUAUUAAUACUGUAAAAAUCUUUCAACAACAUCUAAAAUGUUUAAAUGAAAUGUAAUUAAUCAUAGUUAAAAAGAAAAAAGUUAAUGUACAGACUGGAAUGAAAAAUAUAACCUGUAUCAAUUUUUGUGUACUAUGAAAGAACUGUAAACAUUUUUCAAAAUUGUUGAUUUGUGAUUUUUAAACAUUAAAUUAAUGGAUACCUUAAAUCAUAAUCAUAACAACCAUUAACCAGUAUGAAAUUUGUUCUCCAAUGUGAAGGAAAUACCAACAUAAAUGCAAUUAAGCAUUUUAGUUUUGAAUAUAUUUUAAUUUAAUAUUAGCUACUAACUGAAUAAAUAUCAUAUCUUCAAUACUCACAAAAUUUGCGCUAUAUUUUUAUAUGAUGUAACCUGUUUGACAUUUUCAUAUUUCACAUUUCAUUUUGUUAUAAUGUAUAAGAUCAUAGCUAAAUAAUAAAACUACCAAGUUUCA
Octopus bimaculoides (California two-spot octopus) is the source of this 1971-nucleotide long non-coding RNA. NCBI's taxonomy places the organism in Eukaryota, Metazoa, Mollusca, Cephalopoda, Octopoda, Octopodidae. The record is from RefSeq and is a predicted model, not a curated record.